This 766-nucleotide ribosomal RNA is filed under the name Angomonas deanei. RNAcentral describes it as "SSU rRNA". It matches the Rfam family "Eukaryotic small subunit ribosomal RNA", at positions 25 to 785 of the family's 1831-position model. Lineage: Eukaryota; Euglenozoa; Kinetoplastea; Trypanosomatida; Trypanosomatidae. The record is from RNAcentral.
CAUAUGCUUGUUUCAAGGACUUAGCCAUGCAUGCCUCAGAAUCACUGCAUUUGCAGGAGUCUGCGCAUGGCUCAUUACAUCAGACGUAAUCUACCGCAAGAAUUUAGCGGUUUACCGUUCUAUUGGAUAACUUGUGCGAAACGCCAAGCUAAUACAUGAACCAACCGGGUGCUCUCCUUUUGCGGGACGCCCAACGAAUGAAUGACAGUAAAACCAAUGCCUUCACGGGCAGUAACACCUAGCCGUGUUGACUCAAUUCAUUCCGUGCGAAAGCCGGAUUUCCGGCGUCUUUUGACGAACAACUGCCCUAUCAGCUUGUGAUGGCCGUGUAGUGGACUGCCAUGGCGUUGACGGGAGCGGGGGAUUAGGGUUCGAUUCCGGAGAGGGAGCCUGAGAAAUAGCUACCACUUCUACGGAGGGCAGCAGGCGCGUAAAUUGCCCAAUGUCAAAAAAAAACGAUGAGGCAGCGAAAAGAAAUAGGUUUCAUAGUCCCUUUCGGGAUUGUGAUUUCAAUGGGGGAUAUUUAAACCCAUCCAAUAUCGAGUAACAAUUGGAGGACAAGUCUGGUGCCAGCACCCGCGGUAAUUCCAGCUCCAAAAGCGUAUAUUAAUGCUGUUGCUGUUAAAGGGUUCGUAGUUGAACUGAGGGCCGUUGAGUGCGCUGUCCGGUCCCACCCGCGUUCGGGUGUGUGGCCUCAGCCCUUGCGGUCCGUGAACACUCAGAAACAAGAAACACGGGAGUGGUUCCUUUCCUGAUUCACGCAUGU